ACCAGCGCACGCCGUGUCGCGUCCGCAUGCAGUCGGACAGUUUGCUUGCUAUUUGAAGAAUGACAGUGUCAGCUAAAUUCUUAACACACAUUUCAGAUUCACAACUGACAGUAACCCGCAAUGUUUGAGCUGUGCACGUUGGGGCUGUGCACGUGUCCAGCUCAGGAACAGCCACGGAGAAAAAGAGGCGGGCUGACUGCUGGGUAACCCGCCGUUCCUCCUCUUCCUCUGCUGGUAGACCCCGAAGCUCCUCUCUCUACAUGAACAAACAAAGCUGGCUGUUUCUCAACCCCAUGGUAAUUUAACUCAACCUUGUUUAGCUGUCUGUGCACAAAAUGAACGUGCACGCUCUGCGCUCGCACGCUUUGUUAUUGUCCAAACUAAAUCAGAGAGGUUUUCCAGCAGGAUGUUGGGUAGGUCUGCACCAGAACUGCCAGCUUCAUUUUCCAGCCGUGGGCUCGGUGGAAACGGAACGGCUCGGGCACAGGAGCAGGAAACUGCUGCAGCACAGACUUCACCGUGAACGCGUGCUGACGGCGGCCUCAGAAGAACUCCUCUGACGGAUCUGCACGUCCAACCAUCGCAAAGAAAUACAACAAGCCGACUAAUUUGAGAGGUUUGGAGAGCCGGCCGCUUCCAGCUGUGAUUGAUUAGAUGUAUGACGAUCCCUGGAAAACAGCGUUCCCGUCCGCAGCUACAUUCCAGCAGCCUGAGCCUCUCCAUGAAAGAGGCUUUUGAAAGGAAAGAGGCCCCCGCUCCAUCUUCUGGGCUUUUCUCUAAGGGGCCUGCUGGCACACCUCACCACUUUCCUCCCCCCUCCUACCUCCUGCAGCUCAGCCCUCACACUUUAUUCGCCUCCACUCCACUUCAGAGGGCUAAUGUAGAUCUAAGACUUUCAGAAUGAACCGAUUUUUUAAUCACGUUUGCCACACCGGCAUGAGGCGGAGCUAAGUCUGUCCAGGUUAUUGUUGCACACCUUUCAGCCCAUCCCUUCAGGGGUCGCCACAGCAAAUCAGCUUUCACUGAUCCGCACAGGUGGUUUGGCAGAGUUUUUUUAUGCCGGAUCCCCUUCCUAACACAAUCCUGUAUUGUAUCUGGGCUGGGGACCGGCACAACUGAAGCGGGAAACGAGCCCUGGUUUCCCGUUCCAACCUGCUGCACACGCCCCUUUGACUCUUGCCACCUACUUUCCCUCAUCUGUCAGUCCGUCCAUCACCACGGCAAACAAGAAGGCGCUCGAGGCUGAUCCUUGGUGCAGUCCCCCCUCCACCUUGAUCUUCUCCUGCAGAACAUGUUCUCCAGCUCUCAUCCAUGUCCUGAACAUCUCCAACGUUCUUCUCUGCUGCUCUGGUCUUCCUCAUCCAAACCACAGCUCCUCUCUCUGGAUACUGUCGUAGACUUUCUCUGGAUCUACAAAGACUCAAUGCAGACUAGGCCUGCACAAUAAAUCGAAAUUUAUCGUUUUUCGCGAUAUCAAGCUGUAAAAUAUGCAUAUCGCAAAAGUCAUUGAAAAUUGCGAUAAAUGGUAACUUUGACUGUGAUGAAUCUAUCUUAUGGCAGCUUCAAGUAUUUAACAAAUCAAAAAAAUCCAUUUGACCAAUCGGAUGGACGCCUUCACAUUGUUGACCAAUUGGAUGGAGCUACUUUAUGUAGGAUGUUCGCCUCCCAUGUAGACGAGGGUCAUUUGGAGUAUAAUUUAAGGAAGAGCACACACGAAGCAGCAACCCCUCCACCCCUAAAAUGUCUAAGCACCUGCUUCUCAUCUCGCCAUAAAUUCCCUCAAAAGAAGAAAAAAAACCUUGGAUAAAUCCUGCAGUUAUGACACCACUCCGGCCUAAAGAAACAAUAAAACUGAACUGCAGCAACGUAAGAAAAAGAAGAUACUACAAUCGGAAGACCCAAAAAGCAGACGGACCAAUGGGAGUCCCAGUGACACAGGUUCCUGAAAGAGCCAACAGGUGGUUUCUGGACUACGUUGGAUCAGAUGGCUGCUUUGGUUUCAGCUGCAGGAGUUUAACCCGGCGAUGAAGACAAAGAUGAGCAGCGGUUAUCAGAAAGACUGAGCAUCAUUACCUGGGGUGGGGCUGACUGAGGACAGAAACCAUUCAAAGAAGACAUUUGAUGGGAACAGUGGGAUGAGUUUGGUCUGAAGUGAGAACAGACGGGUGAUGGAUCACAGAACCGUACCGACAGCUCCACAGUCAUCUGCAGACAGUCCAGUUAGCAGCAACUAUCCAUGCUAUGGUCUGCUUGUGUGGCGGAAUCAAUGAAAGGGACAAAAAGACAAGCUGGUGAAGAGAGCUAGCUCUGUCCUGGGCUGUCCCCUGGACUCAGUGUGUAACACUCUACAGUUCAUCAUUCAUAGUCUUAAGAUUAUUGUCGUGGGUUGACUAUGGAACACAAAUGAACAAAUGAACAACCAAUUAAAUCAAGAUUUGUUCUUUAACCAUCAUAAUUUCAUUGAACCCAGUCACACUCCAUGAAUCGCGCUCCCGAUUACAUUAUAGGUCCGUGCACGCGUUUACGAUGAUUCCCUAUUGUCCGUCUAGCGACUCCCACCUGUGUGCGCGUAAGCGCUCCAACGUAAACAAUUCCUCCCAAA
Oryzias latipes (Japanese medaka) is the source of this 2602-nucleotide non-coding RNA. NCBI's taxonomy places the organism in Eukaryota, Metazoa, Chordata, Actinopteri, Beloniformes, Adrianichthyidae. The record is from RefSeq and is a predicted model, not a curated record.